UACGUAGGGUGCAAGCGUUAAUCGGAAUUACUGGGCGUAAAGCGAGCGCAGGCGGUUUUGUAAGUCAGAUGUGAAAGCCCCGGGCUCAACCUGGGAACUGCGUUUGAAACUACAAGGCUAGAGUAUGGGAGAGGGAGGUAGAAUUCCACGUGUAGCAGUGAAAUGCGUAGAGAUGUGGAGGAAUACCAAUGGCGAAGGCAGCCUCCUGGCCUAAUACUGACGCUCAUGCUCGAAAGCGUGGGGAGCAAACAGG
Molecule: ribosomal RNA, 253 nt
Filed under: uncultured bacterium
Lineage: Bacteria
Also listed under: 1 other name
Description: partial 16S ribosomal RNA
Rfam family: Bacterial small subunit ribosomal RNA
Source: RNAcentral